AUGUGGUUCAUGAGGUUGAGAGAAGUUGAGACUAUAAGCAGGACAUCACAGGACAGCUACAUUACUGAAGUGGUUCCUUUUGUCUGGAAGGAUGUCAGCUCUCUGUGCCUGACCAUCUCUGAGGAUGCUUCACGUCAUCUUGUCUACCUGAUCACUGCACUACCUGCUCUCCACUACAAUGCUGCCGUCUCGCUGCUCUGCCACUUGAAAUGCUUGGCUGGCCUUUUCUUAUAAAGCCAUCAUAAAAACUGGAUGCCAUGAAGAUCUACGUUGUUCCUCUUUUCUCCUCCCUUCAAACAUAAGUGCAGAAGGCACAAAAAGUAUUCCUUUAUGCUGAAGACGACUGCUCCUGUUCCACAAAUAGAAGAAAAAAGUUAUUUGUAGUAAAAAUUUGACUUAGGAAAUUGGUAUAUUUUUGCUUACGGUACAUUUAAAUGUGUAAAUGUGAAUAAAUUAUUACGUAUGGCAAAAUAAAAACCCUGUGAUAUGUUAACAGUCUUUAACAAAAGCCGUUUUUCACUAAGCAUUUUGGGUUGUGAAAAAUCUUCAGGUGUUGGAAGUGACAAAAUGACAGGAUAAAACUUUUAACAGGAAACUUUUUUUUUUCACAUUUUCUUAUUUAUGUUGUUAAAAAUGAAAUGAACCAAGAAGAAAUGUGUCUCAGGAUUAUACUGUCUCAUGUUCAUUUUUUAAGUUUGCUUUGUCUAACUGGCGUGGUCUGACUGAAGGUUGACCUUUUACCGAGUGAGCCUCUAUUAUAAGGGGCCUCUGGCUCACUGGCUUGAGAAGAUUUUGUCUACUGGUAGAGUGAGGACUCAAAUCUCAGAUUUUGAAUUUCAUCGUCCCUAAAGCUCCAUAGUCCUCAAUUGUAUGUAAUUUUGGAUUAAAUAUAUGCUUAGUGAUAAAAAGCAAAGAUAUAAGGAAUCCGGUGGAAUGAUUAUAGUGCAGACUGCACUUUACUCUCCUAAAAGUUCCACUUCAGUCAUCUUUUGAUCUAUUGUAAAAGCCUUUUCCAGUGUUUUUUAAAUUAUUAUGAUGACAUUUUCAGCCAAAAUCUAAAAACCUGUGUCAUUUUCUUGGACAUAGUUUCUGCAGAGCGGCAGUAGUUCAUUAGAAAUUUGCAUCAGCGUUGUGGGUAUGACCGUUAGCGUGGAGUAAGCCAGCACUAAUUUCCCACCAUGCCUUCGUAUACCUUCUCCCCUGCAAGCUUACAGCCCCUAACAACCCCAAGCUAACAUUACUGGUCGAACAAAAAUGGCAACCAAUUUUGGAGCGAUCCAGUCGUACCGUUUUGGGUAACGCUUUCUUUUACAGUACUUACAGCGUACUUAAGUGGUACUUACAUGGUACUUAUUGUGUAACUACCGGGUACUUUCAGGGUACUUUAU
RNAcentral lists this long non-coding RNA (1388 nucleotides) under Oryzias sinensis (Chinese medaka). RNAcentral describes it as "lncRNA (ENSOSIG00000006866.1)". The record is from RNAcentral. Lineage: Eukaryota; Metazoa; Chordata; Actinopteri; Beloniformes; Adrianichthyidae.